AGGAUAAACGCUGGCGGCGUGCCUAACACAUGCAAGUCGAACGUCUCUUCUUUCGGGAAGAGGAGUGGCGGACGGGUGAGGAACACGUGGGAACCUGCCCUUUAGUGAGGAAUACCGGCGAGAAAUCGCCGACAAGACCGCAUAGGCUCGAUGCAAGUCGAGCAAAGCUCUUUCGAGAGAGGGAGCGCCACACGAGGAGCCUGCGCCCGAUUAGCUAGCUGGUGGAGUAACGGUUCACCAGGGCGACGAUCGGUAGCUGGUCUGAGAGGACGAUCAGCCACACUGGGAUUGAGAACGGCCCAGACUCCUACGGGGGGCAGCAGUGAGGAAUUUUCGUCAAUGGGGGCAACCCUGAACGAGCAACGCCGCGUGCAGGAAGAAGGUUUUCGGAUCGUAAACUGCUUUUCUCGGGGAAGAGAAUGGACGGUACCCGAGGAAUCAGCCCCGGCUAACUACGUGCCAGCAGCCGC
This 470-nucleotide ribosomal RNA is filed under the name uncultured bacterium. RNAcentral describes it as "SSU rRNA". It matches the Rfam family "Bacterial small subunit ribosomal RNA", at positions 26 to 518 of the family's 1533-position model. The record is from RNAcentral.